Lathyrus oleraceus (garden pea) is the source of this 711-nucleotide long non-coding RNA. RefSeq lists it as uncharacterized. The record is from RefSeq and is a predicted model, not a curated record. The transcript has 2 exons. NCBI's taxonomy places the organism in Eukaryota, Viridiplantae, Streptophyta, Magnoliopsida, Fabales, Fabaceae.
CAACCCUUUAACCCUAAAUUACCGCCGUUCAGCCUCGCGAUCUCAAACCCCUGCCGUCGAAAUCGCGACCGUAAUCAAAAACCCACGUCACCACCAACUCGCGCGAUUUCUUCUCCACAGCAUCGCAAGAGCCUUUUUAACCGCUUUUGAUUGAAGUUUGUUUUCUCGACUCGCUUCGCCGGCAACAACCGCGGACUCGUUUUGUCACUACCUUCAAACAACAUCGCCGCUAAUAGCCAACAACAACAUAGUCUGCUGUUCAGUUGUAAACAAGGGUUUCUUGAGUUCCGCCUUCAAACCGAUCCACUUUCGGUUCAAAUUCCGUCACACCUCAAAAGCAGCUGUUAUUUACAUUGGUUGGAUUUUCAACUUGAAUCAAUUUUGUUGAGGUUAAAUUUGUGUGUAUGAGUGAGUAUAUGUUGCCCGGUGCUAUAGAUUUUGAGAGGUGAAUUCCGGUGUUUAUUUCGGUUCGUCAUGUGCUGUAGCAUUCUUCUUGGAUGUAAAUGCUGUAAAAUAAUUCUGCAGAUUGAUUAAGUUAUGCCAUUGCUUUUCGGUUGUGUCAAUUCUAUAAUUUCUAUAACAUGUUGAUUUAAGUUUGUGUAAAUAUUGUACUGUCCAUCCUCUUAAUUGCAUUUUCAAUUGUCAACGUUGCUUUGUAAUUGAGACUGAUGUAAUAACUUUGGAAAUCAUGUGGUGAUUAUUUGGCAUUCA